AGGCUUAACACAUGCAAGUCGAGCGCCCCGCAAGGGGAGCGGCAGACGGGUGAGUAACGCGUGGGAACGUACCCUUUACUACGGAAUAACGCAGGUGGAAACUUGUGCUAAUACCGUAUGUGCCCUUCGGGGGAAAGAUUUAUCGGUAAAGGAUCGGCCCGCGUUGGAUUAGCUAGUUGGUGGGGUAAAGGCCUACCAAGGCGACGAUCCAUAGCUGGUCUGAGAGGAUGAUCAGCCACAUUGGGACUGAGACACGGCCCAAACUCCUACGGGAGGCAGCAGUGGGGAAUAUUGGACAAUGGGCGCAAGCCUGAUCCAGCCAUGCCGCGUGAGUGAUGAAGGCCCUAGGGUUGUAAAGCUCUUUCACCGGAGAAGAUAAUGACGGUAUCCCGGAGAANAAGCCCCGG
This 407-nucleotide ribosomal RNA is filed under the name Rhizobium etli. Its description in RNAcentral is "bacterial SSU rRNA". It matches the Rfam family "Bacterial small subunit ribosomal RNA", at positions 44 to 496 of the family's 1533-position model. Lineage: Bacteria; Pseudomonadati; Pseudomonadota; Alphaproteobacteria; Hyphomicrobiales; Rhizobiaceae. The record is from RNAcentral.